Long non-coding RNA from Myotis myotis, 843 nucleotides. RefSeq lists it as uncharacterized. Lineage: Eukaryota; Metazoa; Chordata; Mammalia; Chiroptera; Vespertilionidae. The transcript has 2 exons. The record is from RefSeq and is a predicted model, not a curated record.
UGAGCAUGUCUAUUGGGAAAUGGGCCCCUCCCAGGAGCCAGUGCUAUUGAAUCUUAUAUAAGGUUCUCUGGCUGGACACUGCUCAGUCCACAGCCUGUUGGAGAACUGAGUGUCUUCCAGUGGAGUGAGGGUCUGGUUCGUGACAGCUUCGCGAUGUCCUCCCAGCAGAGCGCUUCCGCCAAAGGCUUCUCCAAAGGGUCUUCCCAGGGCCCCACCCCGUGCCCCGCCCCGGUGCCCUCCCGGGCCUCCUCCUCCUGCUGCGGCUGCGGCGACUCCGGCUCCGGCUGCUGCGGCUCCGGCUCCGGCUGCUGCGGGGACUCGGGCUGCUGCGGCUCCGUGUCCACCGGCUGCUGCUGCUUCCCCAGGAGGCGCCGCCGGCAGCGCAGGAGCGGGUGCGGGUGCUGCGGGGGCGGCAGCCAGAGUUCUCAGUGCUCCCCCAACACCCAGAGCCCGGGCUGCUGCGGCGGCUGCUGAGCGCACCGAGGCCCGGAAGAGCCUCUCCUGAACCACCCGCCAAUCAGAGAGCGGCCCGCCGCCGUGCUGCCACCCCGCCUCCUAUCACUGUGCUGGAAUUCCGGUCUGGGGCACCCCUUCGUCCCAGGCCCCCAUCAAGCUAACUGCACUUGGAUGUCCAGAAACCCACCCCGUUCUCAGCCCCACAAAACUUCCCGACCGCGUGAUUUUCCUGCCUGGGCACCUGAGAGCCAUGGUGGACUCUACUGUCUGCAUGGACACUGCACUCUGCUGUCUGCCUAGGCUAGCACACAGUAGGUGCUCAAUAAAUGCCUACUGAUUUGAUUGUCUUAAAGACAUGUCAUAAUAAAGCUACCUCCUGAGAACCCA